Molecule: long non-coding RNA, 328 nt
Filed under: Mytilus galloprovincialis (Mediterranean mussel)
Lineage: Eukaryota; Metazoa; Mollusca; Bivalvia; Mytilida; Mytilidae
Source: RNAcentral
AACUAUCUGAAUUGUUAUCUCGUCCAGAUACUGGUUCAUUAUAAAUAAGAAGAUGCGAUACGAGUGCUAUCCAGACAAAUACCCAACAAAGUCAUGCCACACCGUCGCACUGCCUUUGAAAAAUUAGCGGGGAAAUAUAACGUUAUUUUCCGAAACGUCUUAAUUUUUGGCGCAAUUUGUGAGGCUUACGGGAGGGAUUGAGUAAACAGUAUUAUAUUACUCAAUUUUUCUCAAAAACGAGUAUGGUGACAAAUAUUUUUCAAAACGUUAUGACGUUCCAUUUUUUUUAAAAGAAACACAUAUCUUACUUUGGGCAAAUCGACACCGU